UAGGGAAUAUUGGACAAUGGGCGCAAGCCUGAUCCAGCCAUGCCGCGUGAGUGAAGAAGGCCCUCGGGUUGUAAAGCUCUUUUGUCCGGAAAGAAAAGCUUUGGGUUAAUACCCCGAAGUCCUGACGGUACCGGAAGAAUAAGCACCGGCUAACUUCGUGCCAGCAGCCGCGGUAAUACGAAGGGUGCAAGCGUUACUCGGAAUUACUGGGCGUAAAGCGUGCGUAGGUUGUUCGUUAAGUCUGAUGUGAAAGCCCUGGGCUCAACCUGGGAAUUGCAUUGGAUACUGGCGGGCUAGAGUGCGGUAGAGGGCAGUGGAAUUCCCGGUGUAGCAGUGAAAUGCGUAGAGAUCGGGAGGAACAUCUGUGGCGAAGGCGACUGCCUGGACCAGCACUGACACUGAGGCACGAAAGCGUGGGGAGCAAACAGG
Molecule: ribosomal RNA, 429 nt
Filed under: Bacillota bacterium
Lineage: Bacteria; Bacillati; Bacillota
Description: Firmicutes bacterium partial 16S ribosomal RNA
Rfam family: Bacterial small subunit ribosomal RNA
Source: RNAcentral